RNAcentral lists this unclassified non-coding RNA (1550 nucleotides) under uncultured fungus. Its description in RNAcentral is "sequence contains 18S rRNA gene, ITS1, 5.8S rRNA gene, ITS2, 28S rRNA gene". The stretch from base 527 to 1550 matches the Rfam family "Eukaryotic large subunit ribosomal RNA", at positions 1 to 961 of the family's 3401-position model. Lineage: Eukaryota; Fungi. The record is from RNAcentral.
GGAAGGAUCAAUCAUAAUAUUUCGUUACAAACUAAGCCUGUGUCUGAUUAGAAGUACACAUAUAAAAAAGCUGAUCAGCUCAACUCUUGUGCAACUGCACUUGUCUUGAGUUAUCAAUAAUGAAUACUAAAAAGAAAAGAAAAUUUUCAACGGUGGAUGUCUUGGCUCUCAUAUCGAUGAAGAACGCAGCAAAGUGCGAUAAGCAAUGCGAAUUGCAGACCGUGAGUCAUUAGAAUUUCGAAUGCAACCUGCACCUCCGCCUGGCGAGAGGUAUGUUUGCUUCAGUGUAUCUUUCCUAUCCAUUACUAUCUCCCUGGUCACAAACAGGCUAUGGGAAUAAUACAAAAGCUUAAAGUGAGUGAGCUCAAUGUGCUCUGUUCACAACGUUUGCAAGUAGCUGUGAGUGAUCACAGACAUUACUAACAACCACUCCGAUCACCUCGUGUGAAUGUUGAUUUAUCAACGACGGGACUUUGUUUAGUAUAUAGAGUCUGAUAGAAAUAUCAGGUUCGCAAUACACUGGAUUUGAUCUGAAGUCAAGCAAGAGCACGCGCUGAACUUAAGCAUAUCACUAAGCGCAGGGAAAAUGAGAUUUAAUAAAAAUGAAAAAUAACAAUGAUUGCCUCAGUAACGGCGAGUGAAGCGGCAAGAGCCCAAGGUGAAAAUCCCCGUCCUCCGGAUGUGGGAGUUGUAAUCUAAAGGGUGCCCACUGACCAGCUCUCUGAAGCCCAAGUGUCCUGGAAUGGACCGCCAUGGAGGGUGAAAGCCCCGUACGGAGUCGGAGAUAAGCUAGGUGGCGCCUGAAGAGUCGAGUUGUUUGGGACUGCAGCUCAAAGUGGGAGGUAGACUUCUUCUAAGGCUUUUUGUUAACUAUGAGAGACCGAUAGCGAACAAGUAAUGUGAAUGAAAGAUGAAAUUAUAUUUAUAUCUACAGAAGAACUUUGAAUAAACAGAGAAUUAAACAGACCUGAAACCGUUGAGACGGAAGCGAUAGAAAAGUUGUAAUUUGACUCCGAGCUGGCUUCGUGGUGAAGAGUCUGUCGAGCGUAGGCAACCGCAAGGGGCCUUGUUCGGCUGGCGUAGCUGCUGGUUUGCUCGCUGUCAAAGCGCAAGAUGGGCUUCGCUCGCGUCAUAUCCCCCGCUGGGCCAGAGCUUCGGCAUCACUCAGUGGGACGCUGUCGCGGGUGGGGUCGAGGGACUUCGUGUGAUCUUUGCUGAUUAAUCGUCACUUUUCUACCGACCCGUCUUGAAACACGGACCAAGGAGUCUAACAUAUAUGCGAUUGUUAUUGUUUAGAAUCAAACAUGAGUAAUGAAAGUGAGCGGUGCCAAUCGAAAGAUGCAGCAUCGGCCAAUUGGAAUCCUCAGGAGAAGUGAAUUGGCUGUGAGCAUAUCUGUUAGGACCCGAAAGAUGGUGAACUAUGCUUGGGUAGGGUGAAGCCGAGGGAAACCUCGCGUGGAAGCUCGAAGCGAUACUGACGUGCAAAUCGUUCGUCAAACUUGAGUAUAGGGGCGAAAGACUAAUCGAACCAUCUAGUAGCUGGUUCCCUC